UACGUAGGUGGCAAGCGUUGUCCGGAUUUACUGGGUGUAAAGGGCGUGUAGCCGGGCUGACAAGUCAGAUGUGAAAUCCGGGGGCUCAACCCCUGAACUGCAUUUGAAACUGUUGGUCUUGAGUAUCGGAGAGGCAGGCGGAAUUCCUAGUGUAGCGGUGAAAUGCGUAGAUAUUAGGAGGAACACCAGUGGCGAAGGCGGCUUUCUGGACUGAAACUGACGCUGAGGCACGAAAGCGUGGGGAGCGAACAGG
RNAcentral lists this ribosomal RNA (253 nucleotides) under uncultured bacterium. RNAcentral describes it as "partial 16S ribosomal RNA". It matches the Rfam family "Bacterial small subunit ribosomal RNA", at positions 524 to 776 of the family's 1533-position model. The record is from RNAcentral.